Molecule: ribosomal RNA, 835 nt
Filed under: uncultured archaeon
Lineage: Archaea
Description: bacterial SSU rRNA
Rfam family: Archaeal small subunit ribosomal RNA
Source: RNAcentral
AGGUUACUGCUAUCGGUGUUCGCCUAAGCCAUGCGAGUCAUAUGUAGCAAUACAUGGCGUACUGCUCAGUAACACGUGGAUAACCUGCCCUUGGGUCCGGCAUAACCCCGGGAAACUGGGGAUAAUUCCGGAUAACGCAUAUAUGCUGGAAUGCUUUCUGCGUAAAAUGGAUUCGUCUGCCCAAGGAUGGGUCUGCGGCCUAUCAGGUAGUAGUGGGUGUAAUGUACCUACUAGCCUACGACGGGUACGGGUUGUGAGAGCAAGAGCCCGGAGAUGGAUUCUGAGACAUGAAUCCAGGCCCUACGGGGCGCAGCAGGCGCGAAAACUUUACAAUGCGGGAAACCGUGAUAAGGGGACACCGAGUGCCAGCAUCCUAUGCUGGCUGUCCGGGUGUGUAAAAUACACCUGUCAGCAAGGGCCGGGCAAGACCGGUGCCAGCCGCCGCGGUAACACCGGCGGCCCGAGUGGUGAUCGUGAUUAUUGGGUCUAAAGGGUCCGUAGCCGGUUUGGUCAGUCCUCCGGGAAAUCUGACAGCUCAACUGUUAGGCUUUCGGAGGAUACUGCCAGACUUGGAACCGCAGAGGUAAGAGGUACUACAGGGGUAGGAGUGAAAUCUUGUAAUCCCUGUGGGACCACCUGUGGCGAAGGCGUCUUACCAGAACGGGUUCGACGGUGAGGGACGAAAGCUGGGGGCACGAACCGGAUUAGAUACCCGGGUAGUCCCAGCCGUAAACGAUGCUCGCUAGGUGUCAGGCAUGGCGCGACCGUGUCUGGUGCCGCAGGGAAGCCGUGAAGCGAGCCACCUGGGAAGUACGGCCGCAAGGCUGAAACUUAA